CAAUAGCGUAUAUUAAAGUUGUUGCAGUUAAAAAGCUCGUAGUUGGAUUUCGGGACGGUCCGGCUGGUCCGCCGCAAGGCGUGUUACUGACCGGGCUGUCCUUCUUUGCAAAGGCUGCAUGUGCUCUUAACUGAGUGUGUGUAGGAUUUGUGACGUUUACUUUGAAAAAAUUAGAGUGUUCAAAGCAGGCCAGCGCUUGAAUACAUAAGCAUGGAAUAAUGGAAUAGGACUUUGGUUCUAUUUUGUUGGUUUCUGGAACCGAAGUAAUGAUUAAGAGGGACAGUUGGGGGCAUUUGUAUUUCGGUGCUAGAGGUGAAAUUCUUAGAUUACCGAAAGACAAACUGCUGCGAAAGCGUCUGCCAAGGAUGUUUUCAUUGA
RNAcentral lists this ribosomal RNA (378 nucleotides) under uncultured eukaryote. RNAcentral's name for it is "partial 18S ribosomal RNA". It matches the Rfam family "Eukaryotic small subunit ribosomal RNA", at positions 592 to 976 of the family's 1831-position model. The record is from RNAcentral.